CGUGUAGGCGGCUUGACAAGUCAGAUGUGAAAUCCCUGGGCUUAACCCAGGAAGUACAUUUGAAACUGUUUGGCUGGAGUAAGGGAGAGGAAAGUGGAAUUCCUGGUGUAGAGGUGAAAUUCGUAGAUAUCAGGAGGAACACCGGUGGCGAAGGCGACUUUCUGGCCCUAUACUGACGCUGAGACGCGAAAGCGUGGGUAGCAAACA
RNAcentral lists this ribosomal RNA (207 nucleotides) under uncultured Syntrophaceae bacterium. RNAcentral's name for it is "partial 16S ribosomal RNA". It matches the Rfam family "Bacterial small subunit ribosomal RNA", at positions 568 to 774 of the family's 1533-position model. The record is from RNAcentral. Lineage: Bacteria; Pseudomonadati; Thermodesulfobacteriota; Syntrophia; Syntrophales; Syntrophaceae.